This 473-nucleotide ribosomal RNA is filed under the name uncultured bacterium. RNAcentral's name for it is "bacterial SSU rRNA". It matches the Rfam family "Bacterial small subunit ribosomal RNA", at positions 34 to 518 of the family's 1533-position model. The record is from RNAcentral.
CGCUGGCGGCGUGCUUAACACAUGCAAGUUGAACGGGACGGAUAUUGAAGUCGACUUUCGGAGUGGUGGAUAUAUUGUUUAGUAGCGGACGGGUGAGUAAUGCAUGAGAACCUGCCCCUCAGAGGGGGACAACAGUUGGAAACGGCUGCUAAUACCCCAUAUGCCGAGAGGUGAAAGGAGCGAUCCGCUGAAGGAGUGGCUCAUGUCCUAUCAGCUAGUUGGUGAGGUAAGGGCUCACCAAGGCGAUGACGGGUGGCCGGCCUGAGAGGGCGACCGGCCACACUGGAACUGAGAUACGGUCCAGACUCCUACGGGAGGCAGCAGUGGGGAAUAUUGGGCAAUGGGCGAAAGCCUGACCCAGCGACGCCGCGUGAGGGAAGAAGGCCUUUGGGUCGUAAACCUCUGCUGUAUGGGAAGAAGGAAGUGACGGUACCAUACGAGGAAGUCCCGGCUAACUACGUGCCAGCCGCCGC